Molecule: non-coding RNA, 140 nt
Organism: Ricinus communis (castor bean)
Lineage: Eukaryota; Viridiplantae; Streptophyta; Magnoliopsida; Malpighiales; Euphorbiaceae
Source: Rfam
AAAGGCUUAGUUAAGAGGCAGAAAUCAAAUAUAUGUUGGUCAAUGUAAUAUUGAUCAGUCAUAACCUAAGGCAUUUUGAGUGGAAAAUUACAGCUAUUCUUUUUAGCCAUUAAUUGUCCGCCAAGCUGUCUUAGACAUUU